Molecule: ribosomal RNA, 1301 nt
Filed under: metagenome
Description: bacterial LSU rRNA
Rfam family: Bacterial large subunit ribosomal RNA
Source: RNAcentral
CACACGACCGUACCGCAAACCGACACUGGUGCGCGAGAUGAGUAUUCUAAGGCGCUUGAGAGAACUCAGGAGAAGGAACUCGGCAAAUUGACACCGUAACUUCGGAAGAAGGUGUGCCUUUAGUAGGUGAAGUCCCUCGCGGAUGGAGCCCAAUGAGGUUGCAAAAAAUCGGUGGCUGCGACUGUUUAUUAAAAACACAGCACUCUGCAAACACGAAAGUGGACGUAUAGGGUGUGACGCCUGCCCGGUGCUGGAAGAUUAAAUGAUGGGGUGCAAGCUCUUGAUUGAAGUCCCAGUAAACGGCGGCCGUAACGAUAACGGUCCUAAGGUAGCGAAAUUCCUUGUCGGGUAAGUUCCGACCUGCACGAAUGGCGUAACGAUGGCCACACUGUCUCCUCCUGAGACUCAGCGAAGUUGAAAUGUUUGUGAUGAUGCAAUCUCCCCGCGGAAAGACGGAAAGACCCCAUGAACCUUUACUGUAGCUUUGUAUUGGACUUUGAACAGAUCUGUGUAGGAUAGGUGGGAGGCUUUGAAGCAGGGUCGCUAGAUCUUGUGGAGCCAACGUUGAAAUACCACCCUGGUGUGUUUGAGGUUCUAACCUAGGCCCGUAAUCCGGGUUGGGGACAGUGCAUGGUAGGCAGUUUGACUGGGGCGGUCUCCUCCCAAAGUGUAACGGAGGAGUUCGAAGGUACGCUAGUUACGGUCGGACAUCGUGACGAUAGUGCAAUGGCAUAAGCGUGCUUAACUGCGAGACUGACAAGUCGAGCAGAUGCGAAAGCAGGACAUAGUGAUCCGGUGGUUCUGUAUGGAAGGGCCAUCGCUCAACGGAUAAAAGGUACUCUGGGGAUAACAGGCUGAUACCGCCCAAGAGUUCAUAUCGACGGCGGUGUUUGGCACCUCGAUGUCGGCUCAUCUCAUCCUGGGGCUGUAGCCGGUCCCAAGGGUAUGGCUGUUCGCCAUUUAAAGAGGUACGUGAGCUGGGUUUAAAACGUCGUGAGACAGUUUGGUCCCUAUCUUCCGUGGGCGCUGCAGAUUUGAGGAAGCCUGCUCCUAGUACGAGAGGACCGGAGUGGACGCACCUCUGGUGUAUCGGUUGUCACGCCAGUGGCAUUGCCGAGUAGCUAUGUGCGGAAGAGAUAACCGCUGAAAGCAUCUAAGCGGGAAACUCGUUUCAAGAUGAGAUCUGCCGGGGCCUUGAGCCCCCUGAAGAGUCGUUCAAGACCAGGACGUUGAUAGGUCGGGUGUGGAAGCGCAGUAAUGCGUUAAGCUAACCGAUACUAAUUGCUCGUGCGGCUUGACCA